CCUACGGGUGGCAGCAGUGGGGAAUAUUGCACAAUGGGGGAAACCCUGAUGCAGCGACGCCGCGUGAGUGAAGAAGUAAUUCGUUAUGUAAAGCCCUAUCAGCAGGGAAGAAAAUGACGGUACUUGAGUAAGAAGCACCGGCUAACUACGUGCCAGCAGCCGUGGGACUACGUAGGGGGCAAGCGUGAUCCGGAUUUACUGGGGGUAAAGGGAGCGUAGACGGCAGUGCAAGUCUGGAGGGAAAGGCGGGGGCUCAACCCCCGGACUGCUCUGGAAACUGUACGGCUGGAGUGCAGGAGAGGUAAGUGGAAUUCCUGGUGUAGCGGUGAAAUGCGUAGAUAUUAGGAAGAACACCAGUGGCGAAGGCGGCUUACUGGACUGUAACUGACGUUGAGGCUCGAAAGCGUGGGGAGCAAACAGGAUUAGAUACCCUUGUAGUC
Molecule: ribosomal RNA, 440 nt
Filed under: uncultured bacterium
Lineage: Bacteria
Description: partial 16S ribosomal RNA
Rfam family: Bacterial small subunit ribosomal RNA
Source: RNAcentral